GUGCUGCUUCUGUAGCACAUAUACUACAAUAGGAAUGAUGCAAUGAAGAUUAGCAUGGCCUCUGCUCAAGGAUGACAAAUUCUACAGCAUUAGGGCAUUUGC
Small nuclear RNA from Suncus etruscus (white-toothed pygmy shrew), 102 nucleotides. The record is from RefSeq and is a predicted model, not a curated record. NCBI's taxonomy places the organism in Eukaryota, Metazoa, Chordata, Mammalia, Eulipotyphla, Soricidae.